GGGUGCUUAGCUCAGCGGGAGAGCACUUGCUUCACACGCAAGGGGCCACUGGUUCAAGUCCAGUAGUACCCACCA
RNAcentral lists this transfer RNA (75 nucleotides) under Clostridiaceae bacterium. RNAcentral's name for it is "tRNA-Val". It matches the Rfam family "tRNA". From Rfam's summary of the family: Transfer RNA (tRNA) molecules are approximately 80 nucleotides in length. Their secondary structure includes four short double-helical elements and three loops (D, anti-codon, and T loops). Further hydrogen bonds mediate the characteristic L-shaped molecular structure. tRNAs have two regions of fundamental functional importance: the anti-codon, which is responsible for specific mRNA codon recognition, and the 3' end, to which the tRNAs corresponding amino acid is attached (by aminoacyl-tRNA synthetases). tRNAs cope with the degeneracy of the genetic code in two manners: having more than one tRNA (with a specific anti-codon) for a particular amino acid; and 'wobble' base-pairing, i.e. permitting non-standard base-pairing at the 3rd anti-codon position. Lineage: Bacteria; Bacillati; Bacillota; Clostridia; Eubacteriales; Clostridiaceae. RNAcentral also lists the same sequence under 1 other name. The record is from RNAcentral.